GGGAAGAAUAACCCCCUCGUGAGGGGGGAUGCCGGUACCGCACGAAUAAGGAUCGGCUAACUCCGUGCCAGCAGCCGCGGUAAUACGGAGGAUCCGAGCGUUAUCCGGAUUUACUGGGUUUAAAGGGUGCGUAGGCGGGUCGUUAAGUCGGCGGUGAAAUGCGGAGGCUCAACUUCGAUCUGCCGUCGAAACAGGCGACCUUGAAUUCGGUCGAGGCUGGCGGAAUGCGUGGUGUAGCGGUGAAAUGCUUAGAUAUCACGCGGAACGCCGAUUGCGAAGGCAGCUGGCCGGGCCGAUAUUGACGCUGAGGCACGAAAGCGUGGGGAUCAAACAGGAUUAGAUACCCUGGUAGUCCACGCCGUAAACGAUGAUUACUGGAUGUUGGCGAUACACCGUCAGCGUCUGAGCGAAAGCAUUAAGUAAUCCACCUGGGGAGUACGGUCGCAAGAUUGAAACUCAAAGGAAUUGACGGGGGCCCGCACAAGCGGAGGAACAUGUGGUUUAAUUCGAUGAUACGCGAGGAACCUUACCUGGGCUCGAACGCAGGGGGAAUCACGGUGAAAGCCGUGAGCCAGCAAUGGCCGCCUGCGAGGUGCUGCAUGGUUGUCGUCAGCUCGUGCCGUGAGGUGUCGGGUUAAGUCCCAUAACGAGCGCAACCCCUACUGCUAGUUGCCAGCGGAUCAUGCCGGGGACUCUAGCGGAACUGCCAGCGUAAGCUGUGAGGAAGGUGGGGAUGACGUCAAAUCAGCACGGCCCUUACGUCCAGGGCUACACACGUGUUACAAUGGCCAGUACAGAGGGCAGCCACCCCGCGAGGGGGCGCGAAUCCCAAAAGCUGGUCCCAGUUCGGAUCGGAGUCUGUAACCCGACUCCGUGAAGCUGGAUUCGCUAGUAAUCGCGCAUCAGCCACGGCGCGGUGAAUACGUUCCCGGGCCUUGUACACACCGCCCGU
RNAcentral lists this ribosomal RNA (952 nucleotides) under uncultured bacterium. Its description in RNAcentral is "bacterial SSU rRNA". It matches the Rfam family "Bacterial small subunit ribosomal RNA", at positions 442 to 1397 of the family's 1533-position model. The record is from RNAcentral.